UUUAUCUACAAUCGGACGGAAAAUGCUGCUAUUGAGAAAGAGAAAUACUGUUUAUACCAGGUCAACUAAUGGAUUUUCUAUUCGCAAAUCAAAGGUGUUAAGUGUUGGUGGUUCUAGUUUGAAAUGGUCAAAAUCUAUUGAAAAGAAUUCAAGGAAAGCUAAUGAGGAAGCUACACUAGCAGUUGCUGCAGCAGACAGAAAGAAAAGAGAACAAAAUGGCAGAAUUUUCGGG
Hibiscus syriacus is the source of this 232-nucleotide long non-coding RNA. RefSeq lists it as uncharacterized. Lineage: Eukaryota; Viridiplantae; Streptophyta; Magnoliopsida; Malvales; Malvaceae. The record is from RefSeq and is a predicted model, not a curated record. The transcript has 3 exons.